Molecule: ribosomal RNA, 688 nt
Filed under: uncultured euryarchaeote
Lineage: Archaea; Methanobacteriati; Methanobacteriota
Description: bacterial SSU rRNA
Rfam family: Archaeal small subunit ribosomal RNA
Source: RNAcentral
CCCUAUGGGGUGCAGCAGGCGGGAAACCUUUACAAUGCACGAAAGUGCGAUAAGGGUAUCCUAAGUACUUACACUUUGUGUAAGCUUUUGCCAAGAGUAAAUAUCUUGGCGAAUAAGUAAUGGGAAAGACUGGUGCCAGCCGCCGCGGUAACACCAGCGUCACAAGUGGCAAUCGCAAUUAUUGGGUCUAAAGCGCCCGUAGCUGGUUUAGUUAGUUCUUUGUGAAAUCAUUAAAGUCAACUUAAUGGCGUGCAAAGAAUACUAAUUAGACUUGGGACUGGGAGAAGUCAAAGGAAUUCCUUGGGAAGCGGUAAAAUGUUAUAAUCCUUGGAGGACCACCAAUGGCGAAAGCAUUUGACUAGAACAGCUCCGACGGUGAGGGACGAAAGCUAGGGGAUCAAACCGGAUUAGAUACCCGAGUAGUCCUAGCAGUAAACUCUGCAAGUUAGGCGUUGCAUAAUCUCCAAGAUUAUGCAGUGUCGUAGCGAAGGCGUUAAACUUGCCACCUGGGAAGUACGGCCGCAAGACUGAAACUUAAAGGAAUUGGCGGGGGAGCACCACAAGAGGUGCUACGUGCGGUUCAAUUUGAUUCCACACGGGAAAUCUCACUAGAAGCGACGGCAAAAUGAAAGUCAGGCUGAAGACCUUACUUGAUGAGCCGAGAAGAGGUGCAUGGCCAAGGCGAUUU